GAUUAUAGGGACACAUAUUUGGGACACUUUUGUAUAAAUGUUCCAUUUAUACCAAAACUUUUAAAAAAAUCUACUAAGGCCUGAAUAUAAAACCCAAUCCAACCAAAAAUAAAAUAUUACUCUACUCAACCCACCUCACCCAAUUCAUUCGGCCCGAUUACAAACAAAAAAGAAAAAAGAAAAAAAAAAUCAAUCACCAUCUCCCCUUCUCCCCUCACUCAAUUCACUGAAACCCUAGACGAAGAGCUCUUCGCUCUUCUCCUCCUCCGCUACCGCAAUUAACGAGGUAAUAUUCCGGCGGUUACAAAAUACUUAAAUAAGUGUUGGUAAAUUAGCAGCACUCUUUUUAGAUUAUAGCGACAUUCUUAAACUGUCACUAUAUACCUAGCGACCCCAUAUAUAGCAACAUUUUUUAAAAGUGUCGGUAAUUUAGCCAGCUAUAUUUUUUCUGAUAUGUACCAAUAUUUAAAAGUAUCGCUAUACACCGUUUUUGUUGUAGUGGUCUCUAAUACUCUUAUCUAGAUACUACUCCAUGCCUUGUUAUUAAUUCUCUAU
RNAcentral lists this long non-coding RNA (555 nucleotides) under Ananas comosus (pineapple). Its description in RNAcentral is "long non-coding RNA (ACOM_LNC032150)". Lineage: Eukaryota; Viridiplantae; Streptophyta; Magnoliopsida; Poales; Bromeliaceae. The record is from RNAcentral.